RNAcentral lists this non-coding RNA (21 nucleotides) under Caenorhabditis elegans. Lineage: Eukaryota; Metazoa; Nematoda; Chromadorea; Rhabditida; Rhabditidae. The record is from RNAcentral.
UUAGAACAUAAAGGGAAAUGU